GAGCAAUGAUGAGAAAGUCCACUACUGACCAAAGGAUCCUGAAGCUUUCUACACUUGAGCUCA
This 63-nucleotide small nucleolar RNA is filed under the name Echinops telfairi (small Madagascar hedgehog). Its description in RNAcentral is "Small nucleolar RNA U2-30 (ENSETEG00000024968.1)". Lineage: Eukaryota; Metazoa; Chordata; Mammalia; Afrosoricida; Tenrecidae. The record is from RNAcentral.